AGCAGCCGCGGUAAUUCCAGCUCCAAUAGCGUAUAUUAAAGUUGUUGCAGUUAAAAAGCUCGUAGUUGAAUUUCGGGGUUCUACCGUUGGUCGGGCUUUGUCUGUACUGGCGUGUAGAAUUUCUACCUUCUGGGGAACCAUCAUGUUAUUAAUUUAACGUGGUGGGGAACCAGGACCUUUACCUUGAAAAAAUUAGAGUGUUCAAAGCAGGCUUAUGUCUGAAUACAUUAGCAUGGAAUAAUAGAAUAGGACGGUGGUCCUGUUUUGUUGGUUUCUGAAUCACCGUAAUGAUUAAUAGGGAUAGUUGGGGGCAUUAGUAUUCAAUUGUCAGAGGUGAAAUUCUUGGAUUUAU
RNAcentral lists this ribosomal RNA (352 nucleotides) under uncultured Racocetra. Its description in RNAcentral is "SSU rRNA". It matches the Rfam family "Eukaryotic small subunit ribosomal RNA", at positions 569 to 929 of the family's 1831-position model. The record is from RNAcentral. Lineage: Eukaryota; Fungi; Glomeromycota; Glomeromycetes; Diversisporales; Gigasporaceae.